This 253-nucleotide ribosomal RNA is filed under the name uncultured bacterium. RNAcentral describes it as "partial 16S ribosomal RNA". It matches the Rfam family "Bacterial small subunit ribosomal RNA", at positions 524 to 776 of the family's 1533-position model. The record is from RNAcentral.
UACGUAGGGUGCAAGCGUUAAUCGGAAUUACUGGGCGUAAAGCGUGCGCAGGCGGCUUUGCAAGACAGAUGUGAAAUCCCCGGGCUCAACCUGGGAACUGCAUUUGUGACUGCAUGGCUGGAGUGCGGCAGAGGGGGAUGGAAUUCCGCGUGUAGCAGUGAAAUGCGUAGAGAUGUGGAGGAACACCGAUGGCGAAGGCAGCCCCCUGGGCUAACACUGACGCUCAUGCACGAAAGCGUGGGGAGCAAACAGG